This 2394-nucleotide long non-coding RNA is filed under the name Gallus gallus (chicken). Its description in RNAcentral is "long non-coding RNA NONGGAT005392". The record is from RNAcentral. Lineage: Eukaryota; Metazoa; Chordata; Aves; Galliformes; Phasianidae.
GGGAGGGGUAGGUGAAGAGGGUUGUGAUUUACAUAAGCCAUUUCUCCAAGGAUCAGUUCUCAUGAAGGCAGUGAGAAGUAAAUAUGCAUGUUUCCAGUAAUCCCUUUUUUAAUAUGUGUUAGGUAAAGUGAAAGUCCUUUUGCACCCAGACUAGACAUAAGUCCUCUCAGACUUCUAAUCUGUAGCUAUCUCAGGUCACAUACCAGUUGGCAGAAGAAUAGGGUGCUAUACUGUGCUUUGUUAUUAGAUCUUUUCAUUUGUAUCGAUUCUUUUUUUCAUUUAAGGACACUUCUGUGUCAGCUGUUGUAGCUUUGUUGCAGCCUGUCCAGUGUUAGAUCAGAAUCUGGUGUGCCAACUGGAUUAAAUCAUAGCAGCUCUUUGCUCACAGCACCAGUGCAACUUUCACCAUUGCUUCAUUUCAUCAGUGCCAUCAGAUGUUGGCCAGACGGUGCUAUUAGUUUCCUUUUCCACAUGUGCUUUUCGUUGGAGGUGGGUGUUGUGAGCCUCAUGUUCUCUGAAAUCAUCCCUGGCAUCUCAUUGUGCAUAACAGCUCCGUCUCUUAACUGUGGUUUUCCUAUGAAGUGCAAUAUGGCAGAAGCGGUCCGUGGGUAAGCUUAGCAGUGUUGCUACCUGUGUGUCUUGGGAAGGGUUGAGCACAGCUGCCUUUCAACUGUCAGAUCAGAAAGGUUUCUGUGUUCUUCACUGACAUUGGCUGCUGGUCCUCAGGAACCUGCUGACAUCUCAGUGGUGAGCCUGCUCCCAUGCUGGGCUUCAUUCAUGAGAUCCCUCUGCUUUUCAGCCAGAAGUUCUGGCACCGUUUAUCACUGGAAGCAGCACACUUCUUCAAUGGGUAUUUAAACAGAGCAUGGGAUCCGUGAAUCUGUACAGUGCUCUGCAGUGUGAAUCUGUGUAUACACCUUCCCUCUGUCUUGACAGCUGGAGGUACACACACUGCAUUCGCUCCUGCAGGUCUUCCCAGUUUAAGUGCCUCUUUGCAGUUACUCCUGGUGACUUUUGCUUACUGCUGCACCUCCCUUACCAGCUGUUUGGUCAGUUGUCUGUCCCUCCUGUGCUGAGGUAAAUUAUUUAGCUGAGUUUAUCCUUGCCAAAGCCGUGACUGAAGGGGGGAACAUUUGGAGCAGCCCCCAGAGCACCUGUUUCUUCUGAGUGCUGGGCCUUUCCUUGAAGACGGUUAAGAACGUUCUGCCUCUGCAUUGCAUUGUAUUUAUUAAGGUGCACUUAUUAAGGUGUGUGAUGAAAACCAUGGUACAGCUUGCCAGUGUCCUCUCCAUCCUUCUGCAUCCAGCAUUGAUUGUAGCUGAUACUGAGAAGCUGUCUUGCCUGUUCCGAGCUUUGUCUUCCUCUCCUGGAAGAAGAGAAAUGCUCUCAUUAGAGGCCUUUGGUGGAGGAUGGCUGUACUGGGAGAGCAUGGUUAAGUGAUGGAAGAGGAGAGCCUUUGUCCUGGCGUGGUGUUUGAGGUGGAAGAAAUUCACUGAAUCCUGUGCCAUCUGAACACCUGCAAGGGGCAUCAGGAUCCUCAAAAAGGAGGUGCUGUGAGGCUGUUUGUUCAAGAUCAAGAAGGACAUCUGUGAGUGGUGUGAUAAGCAGUGUGUGCUUGGAACAGCUCUGGGACAACGGAUCACCUCCAGGCAGCAGCUUUCCUGCUCUGCAGGCCUGUUUUUUUGGUUAUCUAACCAAAAUGGCUGGCAUUUUCCUUGCUCCUUUGAAAGUAAGCGAGAGCACUCUGUAAGCAGCUGCUCAUCAGCCUCAAGCUGCCUUAGCACCUCUGCACCUUGCUCUCUGCACCUGUUCAUAUGAGUAUAGACAGCUAUUGUGAUUGCAGCCCUGUUUUUCUGUGCUUUUACCCUGGUCGUGUGCAUUUACUGCCCACACGUGUUCAUGAACACUGCAUCCUGCUGCUCCAAGCAGGUGCUUCAGCAACACGUGGCUGCUGAGCUCUGCAAUGGCUUCAGCAUCUCUGUUUCAAAGAAGACAUAACCACCUUUGAGGAUCGAUCCAGGAGGAUGCACGGAGAAGGCAGGAGCGUGUUUUACCUCUGGCAAAGAUAAUAAAGACUUCUUGUUGUGCAAAGUGUGUCCUGCCCAGGCUCCCUGGCACACUUCUGCAGCCUCUGGUUCCUGAAUCCAUUUUUCUUGUUAAGAAGGACUCUGUAUCCGAGUACCCGCACACACAGCCACCACAAGCAGGAGCUCUCACUGAGCGACCUCUGUUUGCACUAUUUAUAUAAGGCACGUAGCACAGAAUGGAUGGCCUCUUUUUGUGUCCUGCGCCUAAUGAGUUUAAUUAAACGGAGCACAUCAUACUAUUGAUGAUGUAGGUUUAUUUUUUCAUUCAUAUUGCGUUUCGGGGAAAGCUUUAAGUAAAGGCCUGUUG